Molecule: transfer RNA, 77 nt
Filed under: Gammaproteobacteria bacterium SG8_30
Lineage: Bacteria; Pseudomonadati; Pseudomonadota; Gammaproteobacteria
Also listed under: 6 other names
Description: tRNA-Pro
Rfam family: tRNA
About the family: Transfer RNA (tRNA) molecules are approximately 80 nucleotides in length. Their secondary structure includes four short double-helical elements and three loops (D, anti-codon, and T loops).
Source: RNAcentral
CGGAGCGUGGCGCAGCCUGGUAGCGCACUUGCAUGGGGUGCAAGGGGUCCCGAGUUCGAAUCUCGGCGCUCCGACCA